The sequence is a transfer RNA, 93 nucleotides long. It matches the Rfam family "tRNA". Rfam says of the family: Transfer RNA (tRNA) molecules are approximately 80 nucleotides in length. The record is from Rfam.
GGGGGUAUAGCUCAGCUGGGAGAGCAGCAGACUGAAGUUCAUCAGAAAGGUGAAAUUUUCUGAAGGUCCCGCGUUCGAUCCGCGGUACCCCCA